RNAcentral lists this ribosomal RNA (460 nucleotides) under uncultured bacterium. Its description in RNAcentral is "partial 16S ribosomal RNA". It matches the Rfam family "Bacterial small subunit ribosomal RNA", at positions 338 to 795 of the family's 1533-position model. The record is from RNAcentral.
CCUACGGGUGGCAGCAGUGAGGAAUAUUGGUCAAUGGACGAAAGUCUGAACCAGCCAUGCCGCGUGAAGGAUGACUGCCCUAUGGGUUGUAAACUUCUUUUAUAAAGGAAUAAAACGAGGCACGUGUGCCUUUUUGCAAGUACUUUAUGAAUAAGGAUCGGCUAACUCCGUGCCAGCAGCCGCGGUAAUACGGAGGAUCCGAGCGUUAUCCGGAUUUAUUGGGUUUAAAGGGAGCGUAGAUGGGUUGUUAAGUCAGUUGUGAACGUUUGCGGCUCAACCGGAAAAUUGCAACUGAUACUGGCAGUCUUGAGUGCAGUUGAGGUAGGCGGAAUUCGUGGUGUAGCGGUGAAAUGCUUAGAGAUCACGAAGAACCCCGAUUGCGAAGGCAGCUUACUAAACUGUGACUGACAUUGAUGCUCGAAAGUGUGGGUAGCAAACAGGAUUAGAUACCCUAGUAGUC